CUCGCUCGCUCGGCUGGGGCGGGGCGGGACCGGACCGGACCCCACCCCGAAGCCCGAGCUGCAGCCUAGAGAUUCGCUUUUUCUUAUUUGCAAACAGGCUGAGGUAAAGGGAAGAGAGCAACAGCAUUUAUUUCCACCGUAAAUGCAGCCAUCAUUGCGGGUGCCCGGGCCAACCUUAGCCUUUCUCUCAAUCUACAACUUGGGAAAAUUGUGGAUUUCCUUGUGACCGACCGUUUCAUAAAGAAAGAAAAAGCCUGGUUUAUGGAUGGAACUGUGUGAUAAAGCAAGUCCAUUUUCUCUUCCCACCAUGGGUACAUUCUAUAUGGCGUUUCAAAUUUCCAGUGUCAUUAAACUGGCGGCCACAUAUAUCACAUGGAAAAGGACCUAAAAAGGAAAGAAGAGUGUACAUUAAAAGUUUAUAAAGAAUAGAUAUGAAGUUAAAUGAUAGGUAUUUAUGAAUGUAUACCUACCACUGUAAGUGCAUGUAUUAUAAACAAUGUACUUAUUCAUUUAUAGUUUUCUCUUCUCUUCUAGAUUGUUUAUUCCUAAGACAAGUUAACAAUCAUCUCUAUAUGCCCAGAGCUGAGUUUAGGGUGUGCCGUCUAAUAUAAUAAAUGAUGAAUAACCUAACGAGUUAAUAAAUUGAAAUGGCCAAGUCCUAGUUUGAAAUCAGACUGGAACAAAGUAAAAAAAACAGUCAUAUGCCAGAAAGGAAGUUACUGAGAAACUUUGGAAGAAUAAAGGCAUCUGCAGAGUUCAUAAUCUGGAAAUUUACUGUUGUUCCUCAAAACCACAAAUUUUUAAUGAUGAAAAUACUGUAAACUCUACUGUGAACUCUAAUGAGAAAUUAAUCAUAAUAGAACAAGGGAAAGAAAAGGCAUUUGGACACAGGAAUUCAUAAGCAUAUCUAUAAGCAAAACUGUUCAGUAGCUGCAAUAGUUUUGGGGGAGUUUCAACAUGUUUUUGAGAGAUGACCUCAAAAUGUAUUAAGCUUCUUUAACAUAUUCUCAUUUAAAAUCCCCAAUAUUUCAUCUUCCAUGAGAUAUGAACCUUUUAUUCAUCUAUUAACUCUUCAACAAGUAUUUAUUGAUUUUUAAUUCAUUACUAGCACUGGGUUAAGUAAAGUAGUGUUAGGGAAAAUCCCUCCAUCUCCUCUUACAACUCUUCACCAAAAAAACAAAAAAACAAAAAAACAAAACCUUCAAGAGGCUGGAAAAAAGAGAUUCAACAUUUGCACAGUUAAAGAUAAAAAGAUAAAGCAAAUAAAAGCACCAAGAUGAGUAUGUUAUGGCAAGUGUACGUUAGGCCAAGAGUAAAAUAACUAUGUAUUCCUGAAGGCUCCAGCUGGGUAAAGAAAGAACGGAGUAUUCUCUUUCACGUUCGGUUACUUACCAGUUCUUCAGAAGAAAUACCUACAUUCUUUCCCCUAUAUUGGAUACCCAGUUUUGCAUGCAGUUGAACCUCCUUGAACUUGAAGCUAGGCUGGGAAGUUACUAAAGGAGUUUUUCAUGCCAACUCUCUAAAUAGGAUAAAAUUAGAAGAUUUGACUUUAAAGCCAAUUACGAUUUUUAUACUUAUACAUAGAGAUAUAUUAAAAAUUCUUCUACUCUGACUGUUCAGACUGUAUUCCUUAGA
Long non-coding RNA from Canis lupus familiaris (dog), 1635 nucleotides. RefSeq lists it as uncharacterized. The record is from RefSeq and is a predicted model, not a curated record. The transcript has 3 exons. NCBI's taxonomy places the organism in Eukaryota, Metazoa, Chordata, Mammalia, Carnivora, Canidae.